GGGGGGCUGCGGGAUCUCUGCCCCCACCCCUCCCGCCUCGGUCCCGGGAGUCUCUAGACCCCACCGUCCAGACGCCCCCCUUAGGCUCCCGCACCGAGCCCCAGUCCAGGAGCGGCGCUCAGUGGCCCCCAAUAGAGCCCAGCCCCUUCCAGCGCUCAAACUCUUUUGUUUUAAAUGAACUGGAUGGAGCAGCAUGGAACUGACGGGAGGGGGGCGCGCCGGGGGCGCCCGGGGCAUGCCGGGAGUUGUAGUUCCCGCCCUCGGGGGCGCGGGGACGAAUUCCUUGACCCGAGGAAGACAGGGAUGUGCCUUCGGUCUUUACGCUCUGCUGGGAGGCGAAGCCGGGGGUGGGAAGGCAGUCGAGGUCCCUCAUUUUUAAAGAGGAAAGGAGUCAGUGUACAGAAACGGAACGGGUUGAAAACAGGCUAAUGGAGUGUGCCCCCCUCCCAAAACGGGCUCCUUCGCGAUCCCGGCCAGUCUUAGGUCCCUCUUUCUUAUGGUAAUGAGGCGGGGGGAGAGGGCGGGGAGCUGUCCCGGCUGGGCCACUGCGGCUUUCUCUGGCUUUCUCUCUCCUCUUCCCCCUCCCUGCCGCGCUCCCUCUCCGCUCUCCGCUCCCCCCUCCCGUUCUCCCAGAGUCGAUCCCGGCUCCGGGCCGCGGGCAGAGGUUCUCCGCAGAGCAGACAAAGCCCGCAGCGGCGAUGCGUGGAGAACACGGCUCUGCGCGCUGGGGGGAGGGGGUGGGGGGCCGGGAUGGGGUGCCGGGUUGGAGGGUGGGACCCCCUGGCAAAAGACGGGGUCCCCUCUUCCCCAAGCGGCAAGCCAUCCCCCUUCCUCCCUUCCCUCCCCCCAGUCUCGGAGAUCAGAGAAGCACCGACUGGGAGGGCUGCUCAGAGAUAAUGUUUCACUAGCGAUGGGACCUGCUUCACAGGGUGGACCCAUGGGGCCUGCAGUCACUCUGGCCGACCCUUCGACCCUCAAGAACCUCCAUCAGCGCCAGGGAGCCUGGGCCCGGAACUGCCUCUCUGCCCCAGCAGCACCCUCUUGGUGCCCUUCCCUCCCCUUCCUGUGCCCCAAUUUCCAGAGGGUCUGA
Molecule: long non-coding RNA, 1090 nt
Filed under: Capra hircus (goat)
Lineage: Eukaryota; Metazoa; Chordata; Mammalia; Artiodactyla; Bovidae
Description: lncRNA (ENSCHIG00010002972.1)
Source: RNAcentral